This 2888-nucleotide ribosomal RNA is filed under the name Burkholderiales bacterium LSUCC0115. RNAcentral describes it as "23S ribosomal RNA". It matches the Rfam family "Bacterial large subunit ribosomal RNA". Lineage: Bacteria; Pseudomonadati; Pseudomonadota; Betaproteobacteria; Burkholderiales. The record is from RNAcentral.
GUUAUAGAGUCAAGUGAAUAAGUGCAUAUCGUGGAUGCCUUGGCGAUUACAGGCGAUGAAGGACGUUGUAGGCUGCGAUAAGCCUCGGGGAGCUGCCAAACAAGCUUUGAUCCGAGGAUUUCCGAAUGGGGAAACCCACCCGUAAGGGUAUCCCGUGCUGAAUACAUAGGCACGUGGAAGCGAACCCGGUGAACUGAAACAUCUAAGUAGCCGGAGGAAAAGAAAUCAACCGAGAUUCCGAAAGUAGUGGCGAGCGAAAUCGGACCAGUCUUGAAGUUUUAGCAUCUUAGUUAACAGAACGCUCUGGAAAGUGCGGCCGUAGUGGGUGAUAGCCCCGUAUGUAAAAACUCUGGUGUGGAACUAAGCUUCGAACAAGUAGGGCGGGACACGUGUAAUCCUGUCUGAACAUGGGGGGACCAUCCUCCAAGACUAAAUACUCGUAAUCGACCGAUAGCGAACAAGUACCGUGAGGGAAAGGCGAAAAGAACCCCGGGAGGGGAGUGAAAUAGAUCCUGAAACGAUAUGCAUACAAACAGUCGGAGCCCGCAAGGGUGACGGCGUACCUUUUGUAUAAUGGGUCAGCGACUUACGUUUAGUAGCAAGCUUAACCAAUAGGGAAGGCGCAGCGAAAGCGAGUCCGAAUAGGGCGAUUAGUUGCUAGGCGUAGACCCGAAACCGGAUGAUCUACUCAUGGCCAGGUUGAAGGCAAGGUAACACUUGCUGGAGGACCGAACCCACUAGUGUUGCAAAACUAGGGGAUGAGCUGUGGGUAGGGGUGAAAGGCUAAACAAAUCCGGAAAUAGCUGGUUCUCCCCGAAAACUAUUUAGGUAGUGCCUCGCGUAUUGCUCCAGGGGGUAGAGCACUGUCAUGGUUGGGGGGGUCAUUGCGACUUACCCCGCCAUAGCAAACUCCGAAUACCUGGAAGUAUUAGCGCGGGAGACAGAGCACUGGGUGCUAACGUCCAGACUCAAGAGGGAAACAACCCAGACCGCCAGCUAAGGUCCCCAAUAUUGACUAAGUGGGAAACGAAGUGGGAAGGCAUAGACAGUCAGGAGGUUGGCUUAGAAGCAGCCAUCCUUUAAAGAAAGCGUAAUAGCUCACUGAUCGAGUCGUCCUGCGCGGAAGAUGUAACGGGGCUAAGUCAAUAACCGAAGCUGCGGAUGUGCACUUUGUGCACGUGGUAGGGGAGCGUUCUGUACGCCUGCGAAGGUGACUCGUAAGGGUUGCUGGAGGUAUCAGAAGUGCGAAUGCUGACAUGAGUAGCGUUAAAUAGAGUGAAAAGCUCUAUCGCCGAAAGCGCAAGGUUUCCUACGCAACGUUCAUCGACGUAGGGUGAGUCGGCCCCUAAGGCGAGGGUGAAAACCGUAGCCGAUGGGAAGCAGGUUAAUAUUCCUGCACCAUUGUUUAAUGCGAUGGGGGGACGGAGAAGGUUAGUUCAGCCAGGUGUUGGAUGUCCUGGUUUAAGCAUGUAGCCGUGCCUGGUAGGCAAAUCCGCCGGGCUUAGGUGAGGUGUGAUGACGAGAGGGCUUGCCCUCGAAGUGAAUGAUACCCAGCUUCCAAGAAAAGCCUCUAAGCUUCAGUUAAACAAGACCGUACCGCAAACCGACACUGGUGCGCGUGCUGAAUAUGCUCAGGCGCUUGAGAGAACUCAGGAGAAGGAACUCGGCAAAUUGAUACCGUAACUUCGGGAGAAGGUAUGCCGCUAGUAGGUGAAGGAGUACAUCCGGAGCCCAACGCGGUCUCAGAGAAUCGGUGGCUGCGACUGUUUAUCAAAAACACAGCACUCUGCAAACACGAAAGUGGACGUAUAGGGUGUGACGCCUGCCCGGUGCCGGAAGGUUAAGUGAUGGGGUGCAAGCUCUUGAUCGAAGCCCCGGUAAACGGCGGCCGUAACUAUAACGGUCCUAAGGUAGCGAAAUUCCUUGUCGGGUAAGUUCCGACCUGCACGAAUGGCGUAACGAUGGCCACACUGUCUCCUCCUGAGACUCAGCGAACUUGAAAUGUUUGUGAUGAUGCAAUCUCCCCGCAGCUAGACGGAAAGACCCCAUGAACCUUUACUGUAGCUUUACAUUGGACUUUGAACCGGUUUGUGUAGGAUAGGUGGGAGGCUUUGAAGCGAGGAUGCUAGUUCUCGUGGAGCCAACCUUGAAAUACCACCCUGAUCUGUUUGAGGUUCUAACCUUGGCCUGUUAUCCAGGCUGGGGACAGUGUAUGGUAGGCAGUUUGACUGGGGCGGUCUCCUCCUAAAGGGUAACGGAGGAGUUCGAAGGUACGCUUGUUACGGUCGGACAUCGUGACUAAAGUGCAAUGGCAAAAGCGUGCUUGACUGCGAGACUGACAAGUCGAGCAGGUACGAAAGUAGGACAUAGUGAUCCGGUGGUUCUGUAUGGAAGGGCCAUCGCUCAACGGAUAAAAGGUACUCUGGGGAUAACAGGCUGAUACCGCCCAAGAGUUCAUAUCGACGGCGGUGUUUGGCACCUCGAUGUCGGCUCAUCUCAUCCUGGGGCUGUAGCCGGUCCCAAGGGUAUGGCUGUUCGCCAUUUAAAGAGGUACGUGAGCUGGGUUCAAAACGUCGUGAGACAGUUUGGUCCCUAUCUGCUGUGGGCGUUGGAAGUUUGAGGGAGCCUGCUCCUAGUACGAGAGGACCGGAGUGGACACACCUCUGGUGUACCUGUUGUCACGCCAGUGGCAUUGCAGGGUAGCUAAGUGUGGAAGAGAUAACCGCUGAAGGCAUCUAAGCGGGAAACUCGUCUCGAGAUAAGACUUCCCGGGGACUCGAUCCCCCUAAAGGGUCGUUCAAGACCAGGACGUUGAUAGGCUGGGUGUGGACGCGCAGUAAUGCGUGAAGCUAACCAGUACUAAUUGCCCGUGCGGCUUGACUCUAUAA